RNAcentral lists this long non-coding RNA (1958 nucleotides) under Homo sapiens (human). RNAcentral's name for it is "HSALNT0390054". The record is from RNAcentral. Lineage: Eukaryota; Metazoa; Chordata; Mammalia; Primates; Hominidae.
GCGUCUCACCUCCAUGGGGCGCCCCCCAGCCUCUCCUGGACUAGGCACAGCUCCUGGGGCACCGGCCCGAUGAUUUGCUGAUAGGGCAGCGGAGAGGCCGGUCGUGGAAGGUUGAAAGAGCUAAAGAGCGCAGCCCUACCGGGUGGGAGAGGUGUUGGAGGCACUUGGAAGAUUUGAGAAGUCGCUCAGCAACUGGCUUAUCCUCCAAAACCUAGCUGUUGCGCACAUUUCAUUUGUCCGACAUUUCAUAUUUGUUCCUUAGUCCCUCCCGUAGCUUCAGAAUCCGUUGGAGCUGCCCAGAGACUGAUAUAUCUUGUACCGGUUUGGGGAGGGCGAGGAGCAACUUGUGGAUUGGGUGUUGCUGGGAGACCCCUUUUUGAGGGAGAGCUGCCCUGUGUCCUAAGCCCGGGCUUUCAGUCCGGGUUAAGGCAUUUAAGUGUUAAUGUGACUUUUGAACAAAGUUCGCUGUGACCUUUUUGUUCGUUUUUGUUUGUCUGUGUAAAACAGGGUCUUGCUCUGUCGCCCAGGCUGGAGUGCAGUGGCGCUAUCAUAGCUCGUUGCAGCCUUGAACUCCCGGGUUCAAGCGACCCUCCCGCCUCAGCCUCCCGAGUAGCUGGGGCUGCAGGCACGCGGCGCCACCACUCCUGGCUAAUUUUUUAAUUUUUUUGUAAAGCUGAAGGGCGGGGGGGUUGGGUCUCCUUAUGUUGCCCAGGCUGGUCUCAAACUCCUGGUCUCGAGCGAUCCUCCCGCCUCAGCCUCCCGAGUAGUUGGGGCUACAGGCGCGUGCCACCACUCCCAGCUAAUUUUUUUUUUUUUUUUUUUUUUGGUGAGAUGGAGUCUCACUGUCGCCAGGCUAGAGUGCGGUGGCGCAAAGGCUCACUGCAACCUCCGCCUCCCGGGUUCAAGCGAUUCUCCCGCCUCAGCCUCCCGAGUAGCUAGGACUACAGGCCCACGCCACCACGCCCCGCUAAUUUUUGUAUUUUUAGUAGAGACGGGAAUUUCACCAUGUUGUCCAGGAUGGUCUCGAUCUCUUGACCUCGUGAUCCGCCCGCCUCGGCCUCCCAAAAUUCUGGGAUUACAGGCGUGAGCCACGGCGCCUGGCCCUAGCUAAUUUUUUAAUUUUUUUGUAGAGCUGGGGUUGGAGGUGGGGAUGGGGGUAGGGGGUUGGAUCUCCUUAUGUUGCUCAGGCUGGUCUUGAACUGAACUCUUGGCCUGAAGUGAUCCUCCGCCUCGGCCUCCCAAAGUGUGGGAUUACAGAUGGAGUCUCUCUCUGUCACCCAGGCUGGAGUGCAGUGGCGCAAUCUUAGCCCACCGCAACCUCUGCCUCCCGGGUUCAAGCAAUUCUCCUGCCUCAGCCUUCCGAGUAGCUGGGAUUACAGGGUCUUGCUCUGUCACCUAGGCUGGAGUGCAGUGGUGUGAUCACAGCUCACUGGAGCCUCGACCUCCUGGGAUCAAGCGAUUCUCUCACCUCAACCUUUGAACUUCUAGAUAAGUGGUUCUCAAAGUGUGGUCCUUCAACCAACAGCAUCAUCACCACCCAGGAACUUAUUAGAAAUGGAAGUUCUUGCACCCUGCCAAAACCAGAAACUGCGGAUGGGUCCCAGCAAUCUUUAUUUUAACGACUGUUAAAAUCAGAAUCAAGUGAUUCUGAUGCAAACUUAAGUUUGAAAACAUUGUUCUAUUAAAAGUAAUGGCAAAAACCGCAAUUACUUUUGCACCAACCUAAGAGCUCUGCACUGUUCAAUAUGGUAGCUUCUAACUAUUGAAUUUUUUAAUGCUAUUAUCUCCUUUAUUCAAAAAUAAAUAUUUCACUUUGAUUCAACAUAUUUCAAAUUACAUUAAGCACAGAGAGGAAAUACAUUCCCUUUGGAGAUUGUGAACACGUGUUGGAAAGAGGCAUGAUCCAAAUAAUGGGGAUGAGAGCUGCACAGGAACUGGUGGAUCUAGCAAAAGAGAAC